Molecule: ribosomal RNA, 593 nt
Filed under: Methanosarcina sp. enrichment culture clone F07
Lineage: Archaea; Methanobacteriati; Methanobacteriota; Methanomicrobia; Methanosarcinales; Methanosarcinaceae
Description: bacterial SSU rRNA
Rfam family: Archaeal small subunit ribosomal RNA
Source: RNAcentral
CUGCCCUUGGGUCCGGCAUAACCCCGGGAAACUGGGGAUAAUUCCGGAUAACGCACAUAUGCUGGAAUGCUUUAUGCGUCAAAUGGAUUCGUCUGCCCAAGGAUGGGUCUGCGGCCUAUCAGGUAGUAGUGGGUGUAAUGUACCUACUAGCCGACGACGGGUACGGGUUGUGAGAGCAAGAGCCCGGAGAUGGAUUCUGAGACAUGAAUCCAGGCCCUACGGGGCGCAGCAGGCGCGAAAACUUUACAAUGCGGGAAACCGUGAUAAGGGGACACCGAGUGCCAGCAUCAUAUGCUGGCUGUCCGGGUGUGUAAAAUACACCUGUUAGCAAGGGCCGGGCAAGACCGGUGCCAGCCGCCGCGGUAACACCGGCGGCCCGAGUGGUGAUCGUGAUUAUUGGGUCUAAAGGGUCCGUAGCCGGUUUGGUCAGUCCUCCGGGAAAUCUGACGGCUUAACCGUUAGGCUUUCGGAGGAUACUGCCAGGCUUGGAACCGGGAGAGGUAAGAGGUACUACAGGGGUAGGAGUGAAAUCUUGUAAUCCCUGUGGGACCACCUGUGGCGAAGGCGUCUUACCAGAACGGGUUCGACGGUGA